CCUACGGGUGGCAGCAGUGCGGGAUAUUGCACAAGGGGGGAAACUCUGAUGCAGCGACGCCGCGUGAGUGAAGAAGUAUUUCGGUAUGUAAAGCUCGAGCAGCAGGGAAGAAAAUGACAGUACCUGACCAAGAAGCCACGGCUAACUACGGGCCAGCAGCCGCGGUAAUACGUAGGGGGCAAGCGUUAUCCGGAUUUACUGGGGGUAAAGGGAGCGUCGACGGUUCUGGAAGUCUGGAGUGAAAGCCCGGGGCCCAACCCCGGGACGGCUUGGGAAACUGUGUAACGGGAGUCCAGGAGGGGCCGGCGGAAUUCCUGGUGUAGCGGUGACCUGCGUAGAUAUCAGGAG
This 348-nucleotide ribosomal RNA is filed under the name uncultured bacterium. Its description in RNAcentral is "partial 16S ribosomal RNA". It matches the Rfam family "Bacterial small subunit ribosomal RNA", at positions 338 to 703 of the family's 1533-position model. The record is from RNAcentral.